UAUGCCAAGCCCGCCGACACAGGCUGAUAAGCAACUGUUUAUCUUGUGGGAAGAUAGUCUGUGAACAGGAAGGUGAAGGGCCUUGCAACUUUUGUGGUGCACUUGUGCUGAAGGAGGGAAGCUCAUAUGCUGGAUUAGAUGAAGGUCCAGUUCCAAUUUCCGAUGCUGAGGAAGCAGCUGAAGCGUAUGCAAAGAGGCUAGUUGACUAUGAUCGGAACUCUGCAGCACGUACGACUGUUAUCGAUGACCAAAGUGACUACUAUGAGAUUGAGGGAAACAGCUGGUUGUCGAAGGAGGAAAAGGAAAUUCUGAGGAAAAAGAAAGAGGAGAUAGAAGAGGCUGAACAUGCUAAACGAAAUAGAGUCGUAAUGACUUUUGACCUCGUCGGCCGCAAGGUUCUUUUAAAUAAAGACGAGGCCGCUGAAGAACUGCAGAAGGGAAUUCUCUUCAGACCAGCAGAGGGGAAGGAAGCAACCCGCAUCAAACCUAACCCAAACCUAAAGGUACAACCUGUCUUUGUGGAUCCAGGUCCCAGGAAAACCCCCAAGGAGAAGAAUAAUAAUAAAGGCCCGAGAAAUGGCUUGUGCUUGGAGAUUACUGGGAGAGUGCAACAUGAUACCAG
This 622-nucleotide unclassified non-coding RNA is filed under the name Hevea brasiliensis (rubber tree). Lineage: Eukaryota; Viridiplantae; Streptophyta; Magnoliopsida; Malpighiales; Euphorbiaceae. The record is from RNAcentral.